AAGCGCUUGCAACCAGACUUGCACGCUGUUGAUCAUCCAGGCUUCUGUUUGGUGCACUCAACUGUGUUCAGGCCAGCAUCGGUUUUGGUGGUGGGAUAAAGGCCUUGGG
This 109-nucleotide ribosomal RNA is filed under the name Fontanospora fusiramosa. RNAcentral describes it as "partial large subunit ribosomal RNA". Lineage: Eukaryota; Fungi; Ascomycota; Leotiomycetes; Helotiales; Discinellaceae. The record is from RNAcentral.